GCAGCCCCUCAGGCCGGGUAGGGGAGGGCGGGCGCUGCGAGUGGGGGGCGGCUGGAGAGGAGCAGUGGGAGCUGGAGCCCCUGGCGCUGGACUUGUCACCUAAAGCAGCCAAGGCAGGCUCCAGCAGGGACCAGACCCAGGCUGCGGCGCUGGCCAGAGAAACACCAACACAAGGUCGCGCUCAGGCCUCGGAACCCCUCGAACCCCUUGCCAGGAUCCUCCCAGUUCAGCCGGGUCAGGGCUGAAGCCUGGGGGAUACCGUGACCCCCACCAAGCAGCCCCAGCUGCAGGUACAGCCCCUUCCCGACCCCCACUCCAGCCUGGAGGCUGCCAGGGACCCAAGGUGAGGAAGGCCCAGCCUCAGGGGUGGGGGGGGUGGGGGCUACCCCAGCUCCCUCAGGCCCUCAGGCCCCCACCACGCUCCCUCCCUCAGCUCCAGAGGUGAUUAACGUCUCGGAACCCUGGCCCCUGCUGGGCCAGGACACCCUACACACUCUGGGACUGCACACUUGCCAGGGCCUGGGGAAGGAGGGCAGGUGCCUUGGGGGAGAGGGCCCGGCCAUACUGUCUCCUCUCUGCCAUUCCCCGGGGCCCUGGGGGGUGGGAGGCCUACAGCUCAGGGCCUGCCAGGGAGGGGUAGGCCAGAGAUCAAAGAUCACCAGGGAGACAGCUGAGGGGCCCACACACCCAGGACCCUCUCUCAGAACAGCCCCAGCAGCUGGCGAAGGGGGAAAGAGGAAGGCUGUCCCCAAGGCCAUGGCCCUGGCCGAGGCUGGGUCCUGGCCUGGCCAGGCCCUGCCCCCGCGUGGUGAGACUUAGACCUGACGGAGAGCGGUCCAGCCUCAGGAAGUCCUGAGGAGCAAAAGCACGCAGGGGGACCACAGACCAGGUCCUCCUGGGCGCCCAGCCCUGAUCCCGCCCCGCCCCCAGUAUCUGGAGAUUUGGGGAAACAGGCUGGGCGCAGGGAGAAUCAGCGGCUGUUUUCGUUUCAAUGGUCCCGAAAGGUUUAAAGGCACUUUUCAAGCUGAGCAAAGCUUUGGGGAUUCGUGUGGCUGGUAGAGGCCAAGCUGGGGAACCCCGCACUGCUAGGGGGUCAGGUUGCCCCGUCCCUGUUGCCCUCCUCGGGGCUCCUGGCUCUGUUGGGUCGGCUGAGGCUGCGGAGGCAUGGGCUGACUGCACAGAGGUGCUCUACGUGCUGUGGGGUUUGGGAACAGACUUGUCGCUGGGGUUUGGGGGACAGACAGACAGAUGGGAAAGGGGCCUUUCACCACCACUUCAGCUCGGAGCUCAGCCCACUCCCAGCCUUUCCCGCAAGCAGGGAGCUGCAGCAGGAGACCCAAGAUCAGAUGAACUCCUUUGGGAAAGGGCUGGGCUCAGGAGAGAGAGAGAGUGAGGUUGGUCCUUCAGGGGCGGGGGGAGCUGUAAUAAGCCUCCCUGAGGGCAGUGGGUUGGUCCCCAGCCCCGAGGCUCUCCAAAGGACCACACUGAGACAUCAUGCACUCCCCGUGUCCACACUGCAGGGCUAGAGGGUUCCUUUGCUCGCCAGGAAGGGGUGCAGGGUCAGAGCCCUCCAGCUGCCCUGCCCAGGCCCUCGGAUCCAGGGAGCCCCUCUGUGAACUUCCAGGCGGGGAGGUGGGAGCAGGCAGCCGAUGGGCCAGAUGCACUGACCCACUGGGCGGCUUCCCGCUGCCCUUCUCCCCCGCUGCGCCCCCUUGGCCACCGGCUUCGGGCACUCAGUCUCCCACUCUGCAGGAUUCCUGGUCGAAUUUUGUUCACCCUCCAGUUCCUGCUCAGAAAGGAGUAGUUAAGAGAAUAAAAGCUCCCUUAGUUUACCCCAGGGCUCCUCUCUGAGGCCCGGAGAGGCUCCGAACAGGUCCAGACCACCAGUCCUUGUCCCACCCCCAACUUGGGGCCUGAGUCAGGUGGGGACAAGGGUCUCCCUCUGCGGGCAGAUUCUGCCCUGAACUAGGUGGAUGUGGCUCCCAGCAGAGCAACAGAAGGAGACCCCGAGGGAUGCUUGGGGACAAGCCGGCUUGGUUCCUACCGCACAGAGAGGGACGGGGAGAUGGGAGAUGGGAGAUGGUCCCGGCGCCCAGCCUUGGAGCCAGCGGGGACUACGGACGGCGGAGGUCUCCAGCCUGGGGUGAACAGCAGGGUUCGGUCUCGCAAGGGGUGGGGGCGCAGACAACCCGCAGAGCCCUCUCCUCCCCAGCCUGGCCUCCGCUCUGGCCCACAGCCGCUGCUGCCCCCCACACCAUGCCGCAGCUCCGGUCACAGGAGCCUCCCUGAACUCUGGGGUUAAUAUUUCAGGCCCCCUUUUGCCCCUUGUCCUACCCCAGGCCCAGCGACACUCACAGUGACCCAGAUACCUUUGGAGGACAAAAGGACACAGGCCCUCAUUUCUGGCCCAGUGAGUUCAGAGGCCACGUGGCAAGGCUGCUCCCUACGCAGAUCAGAGUGAAGGCCUUCCCACACCCACACCCCUGCCCGGGUUCUCGAGUGGCUUCAAGAGAGGCUUGGGGACGCUCCCGACCAUGACUCCCCAGGAAUGCGAACCGUGUAGCCGAUGUCGCACAAACCCCAGAUGUAGGAAAGCCUCCUUCCUUCUGGGAGGGAGGAAGCACUCUCCUGAGCGGGCAGCCUCCUGGGAGGGCCCGUGACUUCUCUGCCUGAAUCUGCAUCCUGGCUGGGCCGUCUCCCAGGAGCACAGAGAUUGAGGCGGUGGGCUUGAACUCCCUCCUUUGAGCCAGGUGAGAGUUGGCCCCCAUAUCCCAGCGGAACCAGCACCCCAGGAAGCGCAGGAAGGUCCAGCAAGCCCUUCCCCGGCCUCGGGAACAGUGGGCCGGGCUCAGCGGCUGAGUCGCGGCUACAGCAGCCACGCGCGGGAUCCAGCCGCGGAGAGGAGCAAACGGAAUCGGUUUCCCACGCUGUCCCUCUCCCUCCCCGAACCUUUUAAAACCUGCUCACGAAGUCCGGCGCCCAGUUUUCGCCCCUCUUGAGCCUGGCGUUCACGCGGUGCCCCAGUCACCAGCGCCGCCCGAGGAGGGGACCCUCGGCCGCCCGCACUCCCUGCCACCCGCCCGCGCACGCAGGGAGCAACUUCGUUCCCCUGAGCAUCCUGGCCCCGCGGCCUGGGCAGGGCUCCGCGCGGCAGAGGUGGCACCGUGGUCGCUCCGGAACGCCGCCCGCGUGGAUGUGACGGCCUCCUCCCGCUCCCGGUUCCGGCUCCCGGCCGGCGGGUCCCCGACAACAACGAACACGGCGAGCCGCCUGGCCUCCCCGGCUUCCGAGUCCCGGGGAUCUCUGGGUGGGAGCUCGCCCUCCCGGUCCCCAGGGGCGCCAGAGCGGAGCACACCGCCAGGCCGCCCGGGAACCGAGCGGACUCCCCACACCGGCUCGCCUUCGGAUCCACACCUCGUCUGCCGCGUCCUCGGGACUUGGUUCCGGUCCCCACCCCGCCGACCCCUUUAGUUCGGAAACCAAAUUUCGUUUUUGGUCCCCCCGGCUCCUCCGCAGGGGUCGCCGUGGAGAAGCUGCCACGGAGGGUUUCCGCUCCAAGCCUCAACUUGCCCAUCUGUGAACAGGGCCAGGUACUGCUUGCUGAGCCCCGCUCAGGGUUGAUGGGGGCUUGGCUGGGAGAGGGGACGAUGGGGAAUGCCCGACAGAGCCAGCGCUGCCCACCUUUCGGGCCCCAUCGUGCAGGCGGGGUUCAGAGGUGGUGCCCAGACCACAAGGGGCCCAAAGCUGCUCCUGAGCCAUCACCACCCUCCCUGCCCUUCCCCCACCCAACCCUGGAGGGAGCGUGAGGGAGGAGGUGCGAGGGUCCAGAUUGGCGCCCAGGGCCUCUCCGCCCCAGGACGGGCUUUUGCUGGCCUCAGGCUCUUGUCUCAGGUUCCACUGGGGCACUGAGGAGGGAGGUUUAACCCAACACGCCCCAGCUCUCGGGGUGGCACCACCGGCACCCCACAUCUCUCAGAGGGUGGGUGCCUGAGCUGGGAGGGGGGACACUCAGGCCACAGAAGCCCGGGUUCCAGCUGGGCCCCAGGAAGGGAAUGGGCCCCGCCCUCCUCCUCCCCAAGCCUCCAGCCGGGUGGGGGGCAUGCCUGGGCAGGGCCCUGAGGAGGGGCCCUGGGGCUUGACCCUGAGCUUAGAGACCGCCUGAAACUGCCCCCCUGGGUGGUGAGGAGGGGAUGGGGGAGCCAGGGGAGGGGCACGGCCUAUUCACACCAUCCAGGCUGCCCUCUGCUUCUGGGCCCGACCAACGGGGGAGGAGAAUCAUUGGGGGGGGGAGUGCCAAAUGGACACACCCUCCCCAGGUCCCUUUACUUGCUCCUGAACCAGUAAUGGAGGUGGCUUUCUGAACCAGCAAGAAAGGGCAGAGACCAGACCGCCCCAGGCAGGGAAGAAAUUACCUCUUGUGCUGAGUGACCCGAAGCUGAUGGAAUCAGUCAGGGGUUCCUGUCCCCUGGGGCAAGGCCACCUGCUCCUGUUCCCAGCGCCCAGCCCACGACUCUGGGGCUAUCAGAGGGAGCAGGGCAUAGGCAGUUCUGGGCUCUGCUGCCAGGGCUUUGCCACCUCCGGACGGCGGGGCUCCCUCCCCCAUCCCCCACCCUCCCUCUCUCAUCAGGCAAGGUUCCCAGGUGACAGGCCAGCGAUGAGAGUGGCAGGGACUCACCUACACAGGGCCCUGCAGCUCGGGCAGGUCAAGGGACCUCACUGAGGACCAACCGUGUGCAGGGACGGCGGGCAAGGGCAAUGCUGGCAGUUCUGUCCUGGGCAGCCCUUCUGAUGAUGAAUUACAGUGAGGGGGCGUGUUGGGUGGGGGGCGGCAGAGGGCUUGAAGGGCACUGUGCCCACUCACACAGCAUCCCUCCCCUGCUCCCGCCCCAGGCAGGCAGAUGGCUUGGGGGUUGGGGGGAGGGGACAGGAGGAGCUGAGCCUAGUCAGAGCCCACUGCUUCCCCAUUCACCUGGGGCCCUCGGUCAGCCCCCCACCCCAGCUUUCUAGGCACCCCCAUUUCCUUUUAUAUAAUCCAGAGGUAGACUAGCAGCUUUGGUGGGGACAGCUGCCUGCAGGUGCAGGGCCUGGCACCUCCUAGGAGCUCUGUGGGUUGUUAAAGCGGGGAUGAAACCCCCCCCCCACCGAGGCAGGGGGUCCCAGGACCUCUGACCCCUCCUCUCCUGGAAGCAAGGCCCCUUGCCUGGAGGGCAGCCCCCUGCUUCCCUGUAGCACACAGAGGCAAGUCGGGCCAGGAAGGAGGACGGGGCUCCUGGGAGCUGUGUGUCCCGUUCCUCUGCAGAUCCCAACCUCCCAGAGUCGGGCCCCACCCUCCUGACCUGGUCAGACUGGAGGCUGUCCGAGGGCCGGCUGGUCUCCUGGCAUCUGCCAGCAGGACUUCUCACGGGGCCAGCGCCUGCCCACUGAGAGGCCAGGGCCCUUAGAUCUUGCUGUAGACCUAACAUCAUUUGUUCCUUCGUCCAUGAAUGGACGAAGGGCCAGAGGCCUGGUCAUGGCCUGGACCUUCCACAGGGGAGCAGCGGAGCGUGAAGACCUGCGGCUUCCAGGGAAUCUCAUGGCCCCGCCCCACCCACCUCCCCACCAAGGGCCCCGUGCUCUGCCCAAGGCUGGGAGUGUGUUUGGUGCUCAGGGAAGGAAUAAUGAAUGAAGAGGCUGAGUGAGUAGAAAGUGACCUGGGGCGGGGGGAGUCGCCAUUGUGGCGCAGAGAAAACGAAUCCGACUAGGAACCAUGAGGUUGCGGGUUUGAUCCCUGCCCUUGCUCAGCAGGUUAAGGAUCAGUCGUUGCCGUGAGCUCUGGUGUGGGUCGCAGACGCGGCUCAGAUUUGUGUUGCCGCGGCUGUGGUGCAGGCCGGCAGCUGUAGCUCCGAUUGGAUCCCUAGCUUGGGAACCUCCAUAUGCUGCGGGUGCGGCCCUGAAAAAACAAAAAGCAAAAAAAAAAAAAAAAA
RNAcentral lists this long non-coding RNA (5963 nucleotides) under Sus scrofa (pig). RNAcentral's name for it is "lncRNA (ENSSSCG00015019189.1)". Lineage: Eukaryota; Metazoa; Chordata; Mammalia; Artiodactyla; Suidae. The record is from RNAcentral.